This 407-nucleotide ribosomal RNA is filed under the name bacterium. Its description in RNAcentral is "partial 16S ribosomal RNA". It matches the Rfam family "Bacterial small subunit ribosomal RNA", at positions 355 to 776 of the family's 1533-position model. The record is from RNAcentral.
UGGGGAAAUUUGGAAAAUGGACCGGGAGCCUGAUCCAGCAAUUCUUUGUGAACGAGGAGGUUUUUCGGAAUGUAAGGUGCUUUCAGUUGGGAAGAAAAAAAUAACGGUACUAACAGAAGAAUUGACGGCUAAAUACGUGCCAGCAGCCGGGGUAAUACGUAUGUCACAAGCGUUUUCCGGAUUUAUUGGGCGUAAAGCGCGUCUAGGUGGUUAUGUAAGUCUGAUGUGAAAAUGCAGGGCUCAACUCUGUAUUGCGUUGGAAACUGUAUAACUAGAGUACUGGAGAGGUAAGCGGAACUACAAGUGUAGAGGUGAAAUUCGUAGAUAUUUGUAGGAAUGUCGAUGGGGAAGCCAGCUUACUGGACAGAUACUGACGCUAAAGCGCGAAAGCGUGGGUAGCAAACAGG